AGGCGCGUUACGUCGGCGCGCUGGCGCAGGGCUUCGCGUGCCUUGGCGAUGGCCAGGUCGUAGUCCUUGCGUUCAUAGGCGCUGUAGGCCUC
This 92-nucleotide transfer RNA is filed under the name Pseudomonas brassicacearum. RNAcentral's name for it is "tRNA-Ala". Lineage: Bacteria; Pseudomonadati; Pseudomonadota; Gammaproteobacteria; Pseudomonadales; Pseudomonadaceae. The record is from RNAcentral.